UACGUAGGGGGCUAGCGUUGUCCGGAAUCAUUGGGCGUAAAGAGCGUGUAGGCGGCCCGGUAAGUCCGCUGUGAAAGUCGGGGGCUCAACCCUGGAAAGCGGGUGGAUACUGCCGGGCUAGAAUCCGGAAGAGGCGAGUGGAAUUCCUGGUGUAGCGGUGGAAUGCGCAGAUAUCAGGAGGAACACCAAUAGCGAAGGCAGCUCGCUGGGACGGUAUUGACGCUGAGGUGCGAAAGCGUGGGGAGCAAACAGG
This 253-nucleotide ribosomal RNA is filed under the name uncultured bacterium. Its description in RNAcentral is "partial 16S ribosomal RNA". It matches the Rfam family "Bacterial small subunit ribosomal RNA", at positions 524 to 776 of the family's 1533-position model. The record is from RNAcentral.